This 209-nucleotide ribosomal RNA is filed under the name uncultured Deinococcota bacterium. RNAcentral describes it as "uncultured Thermus/Deinococcus group bacterium partial 16S ribosomal RNA". It matches the Rfam family "Bacterial small subunit ribosomal RNA", at positions 139 to 350 of the family's 1533-position model. The record is from RNAcentral. Lineage: Bacteria; Thermotogati; Deinococcota.
CCGAAUAACUGGCUGAAAGGUCAGCUAAUACGGAAUGUGCAGCAUCCUCGUGUGGAUGUUGUAAAGGCUAUGACCGCUUUGGGAUGGGGUUGCGUUCCAUCAGCUAGUUGGUGGGGUAAAGGCCCACCAAGGCGACGACGGAUAACCGGCCUGAGAGGGUGGCCGGUCACAGGGGCACUGAGACACGGGUCCCACUCCUACGGGAGGCA